CUCAUCCUUAGUGCUGGGUACACGGCAAUAGCCCCUUUGUGAAAUUCAUCAAACGGUGGACACUUAGGGCAUGUACAUCACACUUAAAAAGUCUGCAUUAAAAUAGAGGGUCAGGCUGGGCGUGGUGGCUCACGCCUGUAAUCCCAGCACUUUGGGAGGCUGAGGCGGGUGGAUCACCUGAGGUCAGGAGUUCAAGACCAGCCUGGCUAAUGUGGCAAAACCCUGUCUCUACUGAAAAUAAAAAAAUUAGCCAGGCGCAGUGGCACAUGCCUGUAAUCCCAGUUACUCAGGAGACUGAGGCAGGAGAAUUGCUUGAACUCAGGAGGCAGAUGUUGCAGUGAGCGGAGAUCGCACCAUUGCACUCCAGCCUGGGCGACAAGAGCGAGACUCUGUCUGAAAAAAAAAAAAAAAAAGGUGGAUCGUGAGGUCAGGAGUUCGCGAUCAGCCUGGCCAACAUAGUGAAACCCCGUCUCUACUAAAAAUACAAAAAUUAGCUCCUCCCGAGUAGCUGGGUCUACAGAGUGGCAUGCCACCACGAGCGGCUAAUUUUUUGUAUUUUUUUUUAGUAGAGAUGGGGUUUCACUGUGUUAGCCAGGAUGGUCUCGAUCUCCUGGCCUUGUGAUCCACUCCCAAAGUGCUGGGAUCACAGGCAUGAGGAGACAAAUGGGAGAGCUGCCUGGGAGGGCCGGGCAGAGCCAGUUCCCUUGCACAUUUGCCACACCAGACCCAUGUCUGUAGGGAGCGCCCCAGGGCUCUGGUGGGUUGUUAAUUACAGCAAACGUACAUUAUCUCUGGAUAAUUCGAGCACGGGAUUCUUUUGCCUAGGGCUGAAAAGAUGUGUCUGCUAGCCAAGUAGGGGGAAAGCCCGUGAAGCCAGUCUUCUCUGCGAAGCAGAGCUCAGCUCUUGCCCUCUCACAUCCUUUGAAGAUGACCACCUUGAAGAUUAGGAUGAAAAGCAAACCCUCGGCUCCUGGCCUGAGCUCUUGGCAAUCAUGUCUCUCACCAGGCAGGAAGCAAAAGAAGAUUGUUUCUGCACUCAUUUGUUUUCAGAACAGUGGAGCAAACAGUCAUUUACUGGUCUCCAUAGACACUGAAGAGACACCAGGUGGCGGUGACUCUGCGGGUUGCAAAUGUCCCCAGCGUCAGAUUCAUAUUAUUUCCCCUGACCCCCUCUGUCCUCUGUGGAUGAGGAGAGCUGGGCAGAACACCUUGGUGGGGUCUCAGGGCUCCAGCGGUGACCACUGCUGGGUCGGACCAGCAAAUGGAAAGGAGCCCACGUGUGCUCUCUGUGGCCCGGGCGGUAAAGAGGAGGUGGAUCCCGGGGCUGUGGGUGAGAGCAGUGGGAAUACCAGGUACUAUUUCUUCCCUCCAUUAAUCCUCCCAAAAGAUUGCUAUGUCUGCACCAAAGUCCCUGCUUAAAACUUUGGAACAAGAAUGUAGCUUCAACGGCCAGGCGUGGUGGUUCAUGCCUGUAAUCCCAAUGCUUUGGGAGGCCAAGGCAGGCGGAUCACCUGAGGUCUGGAGUUUGAGACCAGCCUGGCCAACAUGGAGAAACCCUGUCUCAGGCCGGGCACGGUGGCUCACGCCUGUAAUCCCAACACUUUGGGAGGCCAGGCUCAGGCCCGCCUGCGGGCUGGUCCCCAUCCUUCCUCUUAGACCCCGCGAGGGUGAUGCAACCUUCGCAUACUGCGGUUGCGAGGCUCCAAGGCCGCCUUCUGCGCGGGAGGAGUGACCCCUGGCGGCCGACGCAGACAUUGCGGGCUUGGUGCUUGGACUCAACUUCUGAGCUGUGUUGCAUCAGCCAACGGGCCCUAAGGAAGCUGAAUAAUGCCUCAGGCUUCCUGCCACCCUGCAGGCCGGGAAGUUGGCAGGUGUGGCGGGUGGGGUGAGGGGUCCGAGUCCCAUGGCCUAGGACGUUCAUUUCUCCGAGGCUCGGUCUCUCCUCUGGUGGGACCAUGUCUCGAAGAGCCCCUGGCUUGGCUUCUGGAGCUGGCGGCCAGGUAGGAGCCCCCAGGAAAGCUCCAUCGGCUGCUGCUGAGCCGAGCUCUCCUGAACCCGGCCUGCGCUGCCCCCAGCGCACCUGGACCACAGACCCAAGUGAUGUGAUAUGAAGAGGGAAUGAAACGCUGACAGGGAGCGCUGGCUCACGUCUGUGAUCCCACCACUUUGGGGGGCCGAGGUGGGUGGGUCGCUUGAGCCCAGGAGUUUGUCACCAGCCUGAGCAGCAUAAUGAGACCCCAUCUCUGUACAAAAUAUUACAAAAUUAGCCGGGCGUAGUGGUACACGCCUGUGGUCCCAGGUACUUGGGACGCUGAGGCGGGAGGAUUGCUUGAGCCCAGGAGACAGAGGCUGCACUGAGCCGAGAUGGCACCACAGCACUCCAGCCGGGGAGACAGAGCGAGACCCUGUUCCGAAAGAGAGAGAGAGCGAGAGGGAGAGCGAGAGGGAGAGAGAAAGAGAGAGACAGAGGAAGAAGAAAGAAAGAAAGAGAAGCCACCAGGAAGAUCAAGGAGCCAGGGCCACCCUCACGUUGCCUAGGCAACAGCAUCCGUGAUCAGACUGUAAGGCAACUGGGACCCAUGCGUGCUCCCCGGGGGAGGCUGCAGGUUCACGUCGGUGUCCGGUAUCUUACAGAAUGUUCUUAAUCUUCACGUGCUUCUUCUGAGAUCAGUGAUAAAGAAGACACGGAUACAGCAAGAAGGAAGGAGGCCCUGUGCACGACACU
This 2725-nucleotide long non-coding RNA is filed under the name Homo sapiens (human). RNAcentral's name for it is "non-protein coding lnc-KLHDC4-1:5". Lineage: Eukaryota; Metazoa; Chordata; Mammalia; Primates; Hominidae. The record is from RNAcentral.